Long non-coding RNA from Canis lupus familiaris (dog), 1688 nucleotides. RefSeq lists it as uncharacterized. Lineage: Eukaryota; Metazoa; Chordata; Mammalia; Carnivora; Canidae. The record is from RefSeq and is a predicted model, not a curated record. The transcript has 7 exons.
CUAAGAUGAAAAUUUUAAAUUACAUUUCCCAAGUAAUCUCAGAGAAAUUUCAGCAAGCAUUGAAUGAACAAAAAUGGCAUGAUGGAACAGAAAUAGUUCUUUGACUGUCAGCAGAUAUUUAAAUAACAUGAAUGCCAUCUAGUUAUAAUGGAUUCUUUUAAAAUUGAUGAUACUUAGAGAACAAAGAGGAUCAGCCCAGAGUCACUUACUGCAAAAAACUGCAGGGUAUAAUAGUUGACAUGAAAAUGACUCUUCAAGACUUUUAGCAUAAUAAACCCCUGGGUAGAAGACACUCAGAGUGACUCCCAGAAAUACAGAACCAACUGCUUUUCCACAAAGCUACUACAUUUAUGAUCACCUGGAAAGACUAAAGUACCAAUGUAAAAUUCCUGCUGUGACUGGCCUUAAUAUUAAAAGCCAGAGAAAUGAACAAAAGGGGAGGAAGAGUGAAGGAGUCCUCCAUCAAUGGGAAACAUUAUUUAAAUCAAUAAAUAAACGUGACAAGUGAUUUGUGAAAUCACAGGAGAAGCAACUUAGUAUAGCUAGAAUGACUGCAAGACAUCACAAGGGUAGCUAUGCCUGCCAUUUUUCAGCAAUAAAUGGGACUUCUUGCUGCUUCACUCAUGAGCAUUUAUUGUCAGUGUUCUGGAUUUGGGUCAGUACAAUAGAAGACAAAUGUAGUAGGCUGACUAAUACCCCUGUUCAAGAUGUCCAUAUCCUGAAUCAUGGAACCUGCAAAUAUAUUAUUUUAUAUGGCAAAAAGAUUUUACAUAUUUAAUUAAGAAUCUUAAUAAGACAACUUGUCCUGGAUUACAAAGCUCCAUCAUGUGAUCACAAAGGAGGAAAACAGGAUAUCCAGUGAAAGAAUGGUGCCAUGCGAGAGUGACUUGCCUGCUCAUUAUUGCUUUCAAGGAGGAAGUGACCACAAACCAAGGAAAUUAUGUGGCCUCUGGAAGAAAAGUAACCUACACUGCCUGAGCUUUAUAACUCAUCUCUGAAUUGAGCAAUGGAUUUCAAGUUGAAUACUUCCUAUGUUCAUGGAACAGGAACAAGACUAAUAUGGCCAGGAUACUGAUAGAUACAUUACACAUAUGAAGAAGAUAAAAAGAUUGGGGACAACUACAGACGAGUUGACAUUUCUCCCAUCAAGAUGUGAAUCUGUGACCUUCCACCUUGAAAUAUGGGUUAUCAUGUUAUGAUUGUGACCAAUGAAACAUGGCAAAACUGAUGCUGUUUCAAGUUUUAGAACUAUCAUCUUCUGCUUCCUCUCUGCUUUUAAUAGACUGUAAACUUCUUGAGACCAGUGGAUGUUCUUAAUCUUCUAUAUUCAGCAUCUUUCCAGGUUCAUCUUGGGUCCUGUAUAUAAUUACUGCAUAUUUUGAUGUUUCAGCAGUUCUUGUAAAUGGAGUUCCUUUUCUAUCCUUCCCUUCUCUCAGGUCAGUUUUUAAUCAAUUACUUUACUGAGAAUUUUUAAGUUGUGUACUAUAAAUUGAUCUCUAACCACCACCCUGCUUUUCCCCAUACUACCAAGUUGGUCAUGAACACUUGCACUUGAGGCUUGUUUAUAGUAUCUAUAAGUGUAUUAGGAAUUAGAAAAAUCAGUAGGUCUUUUUACAUUGUUUAAACAUUAGCAUAUUUGAACAGUAAAUUCUAUCCUCAUACUGCUUAAACUUCUUAAAAAUUGUGUC